Molecule: small RNA, 77 nt
Filed under: Flavobacterium sp. TAB 87
Lineage: Bacteria; Pseudomonadati; Bacteroidota; Flavobacteriia; Flavobacteriales; Flavobacteriaceae
Description: Flavo-1 RNA
Rfam family: Flavo-1 RNA
Source: Rfam by way of RNAcentral
UCAUAGCCCUGAUCGAAACGGCAUCCUUUGUGUGCGCCGCAGCGCGCACAAAGAUAAAGUGCAGAGCAGGAAGUUUG